UAGGGAAUAUUGCAAAUGGGCGAAAGCCUGAUGUAGCAACGCCGCGUGCGCGAUGAAGGUCUUCGGAUUGUAAAGCACUUUUUGGAGGGAUGAGGAAGGACAGUACCUCCAGAAUAAGCCUCGGCUAACUACGUGCCAGCAGCCGCGGUAACACGUAGGAGGCAAGCGUUAUUCGGAUUUACUGGGCGUAAAGCGCGUGCAGGCGGUUUGGAAAGUUGGAUGUGAAAGCUCCUGGCUCAACUGGGAGAGGUCGUUCAAUACUUCCAGACUUGAGAGUGGUAGAGGGGGGUGGAAUUCCGGGUGUAGUGGUGAAAUGCGUAGAUAUCCGGAGGAACACCAGUGGCGAAAGCGGCCUCCUGGACCACUUCUGACGCUCAGACGCGAAAGCUAGGGUAGCAAACGG
RNAcentral lists this ribosomal RNA (403 nucleotides) under uncultured bacterium. RNAcentral's name for it is "bacterial SSU rRNA". It matches the Rfam family "Bacterial small subunit ribosomal RNA", at positions 355 to 775 of the family's 1533-position model. The record is from RNAcentral.